CCAUGGAAAACCCUCCCUUCGAUUGCUCAAAUUAGAAGUUAUAAUACGCAUGGAAUUGACAUCUUCCAAACUAUUGCUAAGACAAAGGAAAUUGAACUCAGGAACCCAACAAAAUACCCGGUAAAAGAAGAGGUUGGUGACGGCGGCGGAGGAGGUGGGAUUGCGGCGGGCGUGAAGGCGGCGGAAAUUGGGCCUGGAAAUGAUUGAGAGCCAUAGUUUGGAGACGCAUUGCAAGCGGAGGAGGGAUUUUGGUGGUAAGCAGAGUAGAAUUUCGGUUAAGAGGUCUUCGUUGUUGAUGAUGAACAGGGUUGAUGGAGAUGGCGGCGGCGGCAGUGGUGAGACGGCGGAAUGAAGUGGGGUGGUGCCGGAGAUUUUCGAGGUAUAAUGGGUGAGACGAAGUUGGGGUUUGUCUUCU
This 415-nucleotide long non-coding RNA is filed under the name Coffea arabica (coffee). RNAcentral's name for it is "long non-coding RNA (CARA_LNC004320)". The record is from RNAcentral. Lineage: Eukaryota; Viridiplantae; Streptophyta; Magnoliopsida; Gentianales; Rubiaceae.